GUCCACGCUGUAAACGUUGGGCGCUAGGUGUGGGGACCCUCUCCGGGUUUCUGCGCCGCAGCUAACGCAUUAAGCGCCCCGCCUGGGGAGUACGGCCGCAAGGCUAAAACUCAAAGGAAUUGACGGGGGCCCGCACAAGCGGCGGAGCAUGCGGAUUAAUUCGAUGCAACGCGAAGAACCUUACCUGGGUUUGACAUGCACGGAAAUCCUCCAGAGAUGGGGGGGUCCUUCGGGUCGUGCACAGGUGGUGCAUGGCUGUCGU
Molecule: ribosomal RNA, 262 nt
Filed under: uncultured bacterium
Lineage: Bacteria
Description: partial 16S ribosomal RNA
Rfam family: Bacterial small subunit ribosomal RNA
Source: RNAcentral